GGAGUAGUUCAGGGGUAGAACGCAAGCUUCCCAAGCUUGAUGUCGCGGGUUCGAUUCCCGUCUCC
This 65-nucleotide transfer RNA is filed under the name Candidatus Latescibacterota bacterium. Its description in RNAcentral is "tRNA-Gly". It matches the Rfam family "tRNA". From Rfam's summary of the family: Transfer RNA (tRNA) molecules are approximately 80 nucleotides in length. Their secondary structure includes four short double-helical elements and three loops (D, anti-codon, and T loops). Further hydrogen bonds mediate the characteristic L-shaped molecular structure. tRNAs have two regions of fundamental functional importance: the anti-codon, which is responsible for specific mRNA codon recognition, and the 3' end, to which the tRNAs corresponding amino acid is attached (by aminoacyl-tRNA synthetases). tRNAs cope with the degeneracy of the genetic code in two manners: having more than one tRNA (with a specific anti-codon) for a particular amino acid; and 'wobble' base-pairing, i.e. permitting non-standard base-pairing at the 3rd anti-codon position. The record is from RNAcentral. Lineage: Bacteria; Pseudomonadati; Candidatus Latescibacterota.